Molecule: ribosomal RNA, 253 nt
Filed under: uncultured bacterium
Lineage: Bacteria
Description: partial 16S ribosomal RNA
Rfam family: Bacterial small subunit ribosomal RNA
Source: RNAcentral
UACGGGGGGGGCAAGCGUUGUUCGGAAUUACUGGGCGUAAAGGGCUGGUAGGCGGCCAACUAAGUCGGAUGUGAAAUCCCCAGGCUUAACCUGGGAACUGCAUCCGAUACUGGUCGGCUUGAAUCCGGGAGAGGGAUGCAGAAUUCCAGGUGUAGCGGUGAAAUGCGUAGAUAUCAGGAGGAACACCAAUUGCGAAGGCAGCUCGCUGGGACGUUACUGACGCUGAGACGCGAAAGCGUGGGGAGCAAACAGG